GGAUGAAUAUUGGACAAUGGGCGAAAGCCUGAUCCAGCCAUACCGCGUGUGUGAUGAAGGCCUUAGGGUUGUAAAGCACUUUCGACGGGGAUGAUAAUGACCGUACCCGUAGAAGAAGCCACGGCUAAAUUCGUGCCAGCAGCCGCGGUAAUACGAAUGUGGCAAGCGUUGUUCGGAAUCACUGGGCGUAAAGAAUGUGUAGGCGGCUAGACAAGUCAGAAGUGAAAUCCCAGGGCUCAACCCUGGAACU
This 250-nucleotide ribosomal RNA is filed under the name uncultured bacterium. RNAcentral's name for it is "partial 16S ribosomal RNA". It matches the Rfam family "Bacterial small subunit ribosomal RNA", at positions 355 to 622 of the family's 1533-position model. The record is from RNAcentral.